RNAcentral lists this ribosomal RNA (489 nucleotides) under uncultured bacterium. Its description in RNAcentral is "partial 16S ribosomal RNA". It matches the Rfam family "Bacterial small subunit ribosomal RNA", at positions 30 to 507 of the family's 1533-position model. The record is from RNAcentral.
UUGCACGCUGGCGGCAGGCCUAACACAUGCAAGUCGAACGGUAACAGGAAGAAGCUUGCUUCUUUGCUGACGCGUGGCGGACGGGUGAGUAAUGUCUGGGAAACUGCCUGAUGGAGGGGGAUAACUACUGGAAACGGUAGCUAAUACCGCAUAACGUCGCAAGACCAAAAAGGGGGACCUUCGGGCCUCUUGCCAUCGGAUGUGCCCAGAUGGGAUUAGCUAGUAGGUGGGGUAACGGCUCACCUAGGCGACGAUCCCUAGCUGGUCUGAGAGGAUGACCAGCCACACUGGAACUGAGACACGGUCCAGACUCCUACGGGAGGCAGCAGUGGGGAAUAUUGCACAAUGGGCGCAAGCCUGAUGCAGCCAUGCCGCGUGUAUGAAGAAGGCCUUCGGGUUGUAAAGUACUUUCAGCGGGGAGGAAGGGAGUAAAGUUAAUACCUUUGCUCAUUGACGUUACCCGCAGAAGAAGCACCGGCUAACUCCGUG